GAUUGGGUAAUCUUGUGAAACUUGGUCGUGAUGGGGAUAGAGCAUUGCAAUUAUUGCUCUUCAACGAGGAAUACCUAGUAAGCGUAUGUCAUCAGCAUGCGUUGAUUACGUCCCUGCCCUUUGUACACACCGCCCGUCGCUACUACCGAUUGAAUGGCUUAGUGAGGUGUUCGGAGAGCCUAUAGGGUGCUGGCAACAGUGCUUUACUGGUUCAAAGUUCUACGAACUUGGUCAUUUAGAGGAAGUAAAAGUCGUAACAAGGUUUCUGUAGGUGAACCUGCGGAAGGAUCAUUA
Molecule: non-coding RNA, 294 nt
Filed under: Melampsora larici-populina 98AG31
Lineage: Eukaryota; Fungi; Basidiomycota; Pucciniomycetes; Pucciniales; Melampsoraceae
Description: Eukaryotic small subunit ribosomal RNA
Rfam family: Eukaryotic small subunit ribosomal RNA
Source: Rfam by way of RNAcentral